Molecule: long non-coding RNA, 260 nt
Organism: Labrus mixtus (cuckoo wrasse)
Lineage: Eukaryota; Metazoa; Chordata; Actinopteri; Labriformes; Labridae
Exons: 3
Source: RefSeq, a predicted model, not a curated record
AAAUCUGACCAUUUUCCUCCAGAGACUGCAUCAACAAGCCACUGCUGGAGUGACGGACUUUCAUGGGAAAAUAUUGAACGCAGUUUUGGGCUGUGCCAUGGAUCAGUGUGAGGAGGCAGAGGCGGGAGCCUCCACCUCCGCUCAGUGUAAGGACCAUGAAGCUCACAGUGUUCACCAGAGUAACUGGUCCAUGAUUGAACCGUAUAACUUCAGAGAUAGACACCACUCUACUGAACAAAGGUACUCCAUUCACUUUAAAA